GAGAGAAGUGUGUGUGAGAAGCUGGGAGUAAGAGGCACAAGGAGCUGAGACUGAGAGGUUGGACUUUUGUUACCCUGGAAGGAGUCUGAAUUUAAAAGAUGACCUGUCUGGAGGGUUAGGCCAAAGAAGACAUAGACAGACAGACAGAAGCAAUCCAUUACAGGGCCAAAGAAGUGGUCAACAGGGAGUACUGGAGACAAAGGCCCCUGCAAUGCCACACUCCGAUGACAGGGCAGAUGACUUUGCAAUCACAAACCUCUAAUUAUUAAGACAGCUGGGAUAUGUGCAGGAGCUGAACGAAUGGAGCUGAAGCCAGCAAUAACAUUUUUCUGCUCUCAGAGAGAGUGUGAUUCUUCUCAAGGAAGAAGCUGUCUGCAACCACUGGAUUCCACAGUCCUCAAAGUUUAAUGAGUCCCUACUGUACUGCGAAACAAUUCCAGACAUAUAUAUGUGA
Long non-coding RNA from Mauremys reevesii (Reeves's turtle), 454 nucleotides. RefSeq lists it as uncharacterized. The transcript has 3 exons. NCBI's taxonomy places the organism in Eukaryota, Metazoa, Chordata, Testudines, Geoemydidae. The record is from RefSeq and is a predicted model, not a curated record.